AUGUUAAAUUAUUUAAUUCCACCACCACAGCUUCCAUGUAAAAUUAUUGAGCCUGAUGUCAUUAAUUAUCCCCAACCACUCAAUGCCCAUUUGGAGAGAACUGCAACUAUUCGAGAUUUCUUUUCAGAUUGAAGAUGGUCAGUUACAGAUUCUCAAAAAUGGAAUACAACUUCCCUCCCUCUCACACCCUCUCUCCUCAUCCCCAUAUUUACCACUACUUCCCUAAAUAAAUGUGUACUUUGAUCAAAUA
Molecule: long non-coding RNA, 250 nt
Organism: Bombina bombina (fire-bellied toad)
Lineage: Eukaryota; Metazoa; Chordata; Amphibia; Anura; Bombinatoridae
Exons: 2
Source: RefSeq, a predicted model, not a curated record